This 253-nucleotide ribosomal RNA is filed under the name uncultured bacterium. RNAcentral's name for it is "partial 16S ribosomal RNA". It matches the Rfam family "Bacterial small subunit ribosomal RNA", at positions 524 to 776 of the family's 1533-position model. The record is from RNAcentral.
UACGAAGGGGGCUAGCGUUGCUCGGAAUCACUGGGCGUAAAGCGCACGUAGGCGGCUUUUUAAGUCAGGGGUGAAAUCCUGGAGCUCAACUCCAGAACUGCCUUUGAUACUGGGAAGCUUGAGUCCGGAAGAGGUGAGUGGAACUCCGAGUGUAGAGGUGAAAUUCGUAGAUAUUCGGAAGAACACCAGUGGCGAAGGCGGCUCACUGGUCCGGUACUGACGCUGAGGCGCGAAAGCUAGGGGAGCGAACAGG